Molecule: transfer RNA, 76 nt
Filed under: Hydrogenophaga sp.
Lineage: Bacteria; Pseudomonadati; Pseudomonadota; Betaproteobacteria; Burkholderiales; Comamonadaceae
Description: tRNA-Asp
Rfam family: tRNA
About the family: Transfer RNA (tRNA) molecules are approximately 80 nucleotides in length. Their secondary structure includes four short double-helical elements and three loops (D, anti-codon, and T loops).
Source: RNAcentral
GCCUCGUUAACUCAGCGGCCAGAGUGCCCGCCUGUCUAGCGGGAAGCCACCGGUUCGAUCCCGGUACGAGGCGCCA